UACGUAGGGCGCAAGCGUUGUCCGGAAUUAUUGGGCGUAAAGAGCUCGUAGGCGGUUUGUCGCGUCUGCUGUGAAAACCUAAGGCUCAACCUUGGGCUUGCAGUGGGUACGGGCAGACUAGAGUGCGGUAGGGGUGACUGGAAUUCCUGGUGUAGCGGUGAAAUGCGCAGAUAUCAGGAGGAACACCGAUGGCGAAGGCAGGUCUCUGGGCCAUAACUGACGCUGAGAAGCGAAAGCAUGGGGAGCGAACAGG
This 253-nucleotide ribosomal RNA is filed under the name uncultured bacterium. RNAcentral's name for it is "partial 16S ribosomal RNA". It matches the Rfam family "Bacterial small subunit ribosomal RNA", at positions 524 to 776 of the family's 1533-position model. The record is from RNAcentral.